ACUCAUAUGUGUAAAUAACACACACGUGUCGGCACAUUCACCGGGGUGCCCUAAAGCCACUGUCUUAUUGCGGAGGCUUGUGGGGUCGGUGUUAUGGGACACGUGGAGGCAUAAC
This is a non-coding RNA of Yersinia ruckeri, 115 nucleotides long. The record is from Rfam. Lineage: Bacteria; Pseudomonadati; Pseudomonadota; Gammaproteobacteria; Enterobacterales; Yersiniaceae.